GAUGAUGAUCCCAAGCCUUCUGGCGAUCUCUUAAAAAAGCCUAGCCUGCUUUAAAAAGCAGGACCUUUAGAUAUGCUUUUAAAUUCUUAUGAAUCUUAAAAGUCAUGAAUUUAAAAAAGGCUUUAUGAAGAAAGCACUUUAAGCUUUUCCAAUGAUUUAAGAUGAUACCGGGGAAGGUUUUCCGGUUUAUCCCGGAGGGCUUGUAGCUCAGUUGGUUAGAGCGCGCGCUUGAUAAGCGUGAGGUCGGAGGUUCAAGUCCUCCCAGGCCCACCAUUUAUGCUCGUUUUUGCUUAUUCUUGAGAGUUAUGAAGUUUAAGCGUGUGAAAGCCUCUUUAAUCUUUAGUUUAUUGCAAAAGAUUUAAUUCUAUCCUUUAAAAAUUGUUUGUUAAAUUUAUCUCAUUACAUUUGUCAAACAGUAUCUUUGUCAAACAGGACUUCAAAUUCCCUUCAGAUUUCUUCAAGGGGAGAGACAAAUUUAAAAGGAUAAAAAUCAAAAAAAUGAUACCAAUCAAUACAAGUCAAAAUAGUGUUGAUCAAAAGAGGACAAAUCACUCAAGUUAAUAAAUUUUUUUGAGAUUGAUUUGAAAGAGCAUUCUUUAGGGGCCGUAGCUCAGCUGGGAGAGCACCUGCUUUGCAAGCAGGGGGUCGUCGGUUCGAUCCCGUCCGGCUCCACCAUUUAGAUCAUCAUCAUUGUUGUGAGGACAUUUUUUGUAAGAGGUUUUAAUGACUUCUUGCCUGUUCU
RNAcentral lists this transfer RNA (742 nucleotides) under Bartonella saheliensis. RNAcentral describes it as "Candidatus Bartonella saheliensis partial 16S-23S ribosomal RNA intergenic spacer". The stretch from base 197 to 270 matches the Rfam family "tRNA". Lineage: Bacteria; Pseudomonadati; Pseudomonadota; Alphaproteobacteria; Hyphomicrobiales; Bartonellaceae. The record is from RNAcentral.